This 466-nucleotide ribosomal RNA is filed under the name uncultured bacterium. RNAcentral describes it as "partial 16S ribosomal RNA". It matches the Rfam family "Bacterial small subunit ribosomal RNA", at positions 28 to 507 of the family's 1533-position model. The record is from RNAcentral.
GAUGAACGCUGGCGGCGUGCUUAACACAUGCAAGUCGAACGGAAAGGCUCCUGCUUGCAGGGGUACUCGAGUGGCGAACGGGUGAGUAACACGUGGGUGAUCUGCCCUGCACUUCGGGAUAAGCCUGGGAAACUGGGUCUAAUACCGGAUAGGACGAUGGUUUGGAUGUCAUUGUGGAAAGUUUUUUCGGUGUGGGAUGAGCUCGCGGCCUAUCAGCUUGUUGGUGGGGUAAUGGCCUACCAAGGCGUCGACGGGUAGCCGGCCUGAGAGGGUGUACGGCCACAUUGGGACUGAGAUACGGCCCAGACUCCUACGGGAGGCAGCAGUGGGGAAUAUUGCACAAUGGGCGCAAGCCUGAUGCAGCGACGCCGCGUGGGGGAUGACGGCCUUCGGGUUGUAAACUCCUUUCGCUAGGGACGAAGCGCAAGUGACGGUACCUGGAGAAGAAGCACCGGCUAACUACGUG